This is a non-coding RNA of Drosophila bipectinata, 372 nucleotides long. The record is from RefSeq and is a predicted model, not a curated record. Lineage: Eukaryota; Metazoa; Arthropoda; Insecta; Diptera; Drosophilidae.
AAAAGAAAAGGCAUAACUAAUCAACUUGAGUUUCAUUGAAAAUCUACUUCAAACUCCCAAUCGACUUUAAAUUCUAUGCAGUUAAAAUUUUCAACUCAGUCGUUGAGAAAUGGACCUAAGCGCAGUAUUCUUGUUCUUGUCGUUGAUGUUUCAAGUAAUCAACUGCGAAGUCAAAUGCUACACCCCAUACCAUCUCAAAUGUUUGCCGUCCACAUACCCUUUCGGUUUGGGGUAUAUAUAAAAAUGCAUGUAAUAGAGACCCAUUCCAUUGGACCCAAUUAAAUUAUUAGCUAACGUGGCCAAAGUACUUAUAUAGUUGAGGAUUUUAUAUUGGCGUAAUGACACUAUAAUAAAAAAUCGACUUAGUCAUAA